UUAUAAGAGACAGCAGCCGCCGCGGUAAUACAGAGGGUGCGAGCGUUACUCGGAAUUACUGGGCGUAAAGCGUGCGUAGGUGGUGGUUUAAGUCCGUUGUGAAAGCCCUGGGCUCAACCUGGGAAUUGCAGUGGAUACUGGGUCACUAGAGUGUGGUAGAGGAUAGUGGAAUUUCCGGUGUAGCAGUGAAAUGCGUAGAGAUCGGAAGGAACAUCUGUAGCGAAGGCGACUAUCUGGGCCAACACUGACACUGAGGCACGAAAGCGUGGGGAGCAAACAGGAUUAGAUACCCGCGUAGUCCCUGUCUCUUAUAC
This 314-nucleotide ribosomal RNA is filed under the name uncultured bacterium. RNAcentral's name for it is "partial 16S ribosomal RNA". It matches the Rfam family "Bacterial small subunit ribosomal RNA", at positions 499 to 807 of the family's 1533-position model. The record is from RNAcentral.